This 395-nucleotide ribosomal RNA is filed under the name uncultured bacterium. RNAcentral's name for it is "partial 16S ribosomal RNA". It matches the Rfam family "Bacterial small subunit ribosomal RNA", at positions 523 to 918 of the family's 1533-position model. The record is from RNAcentral.
AUACGUAGGGUGCAAGCGUUAAUCGGAAUUACUGGGCGUAAAGCGUGCGCAGGCGGUUUUGUAAGACAGUGGUGAAAUCCCCGGGCUCAACCUGGGAACUGCCAUUGUGACUGCAAGGCUGGAGUGCGGCAGAGGGGGAUUGAAUUCCGCGUGUAGCCGUGAAAUGCGUAGGUAUGCGGGGGAACACCGAUGGCGAAGGCAAUCCCCUGGGACAGCACUAACUCUAAUUCACGAAAGCGUGGGGAACAAACAGGGUUUGAAACCCUGGUAGUCGAUGCCCUAAACGAUGUCAACUGGUUGUUGGGUCUUCAUUGACUCAGUAACGAAGCUAACGCGUGAAGUUGACCGCCUGGGGAGUACGGCCGCAAGGUGGAGACUCAAAGGAAUUGACGGGG